This 425-nucleotide ribosomal RNA is filed under the name uncultured bacterium. RNAcentral's name for it is "bacterial SSU rRNA". It matches the Rfam family "Bacterial small subunit ribosomal RNA", at positions 356 to 773 of the family's 1533-position model. The record is from RNAcentral.
CGGGAAUCUUCCACAAUGGACGAAAGUCUGAUGGAGCAACGCCGCGUGAGCGAUGAAGGCCUUCGGGUCGUAAAGCUCUGUUGUUAGGGAAGAACAAGUAUCGGAGUAACUGCCGGUGCCUUGACGGUACCUAACCAGAAAGCCACGGCCAACUACGUGCCAGCAGCCGCGGUAAUACGUAGGUGGCAAGCGUUGCCCGGAAUUAUUGGGCGUAAAGCGCGCGCAGGCGGUCCUUUAAGUCUGAUGGGAAAGCCCACGGCUCAACCGUGGAGGGUCAUUGGAAACUGGGGGACUUGAGUGCAGAAGAGGAAAGCGGAAUUCCACGUGUAGCGGUGAAAUGCGUAGAGAUGUGGAGGAACACCAGUGGCGAAGGCGGCUUUCUGGUCUGUAACUGACGCUGAGGCGCGAAAGCGUGGGGAGCAAAC